Molecule: long non-coding RNA, 3375 nt
Filed under: Gossypium barbadense (sea-island cotton)
Lineage: Eukaryota; Viridiplantae; Streptophyta; Magnoliopsida; Malvales; Malvaceae
Description: long non-coding RNA (GBAR_LNC017287)
Source: RNAcentral
GAUGAGUGGCAUGUUGGUAUGACUAUAAAGACAAUGACUUAUGAUAAUGGAAAUGGAAAGGUGGUGCCCCAAACCCAGCCGGACUAUCUAACUCGAAUCUGGAAUAGCACAUUGAUCAUUUGCGUGACUCUCCAUACCAAACACCAAUCACACUACAAAACCAUAUGUUACACCAUGCAAAUACAUGCAUAAAAAAACAAUCAUCAAGUAAAAAUAAGCAUACAUAUCCUAGAAUCAUGAUUUGCUAGAAAAAUGAUCAAAAUAAUGUUCAGGGGCAAAUUCUUCAUUUUACACUAUUCAUGCAAUUACUCGAAAACAAUAAAUCAAACAUACAUGCAUAUAGUAGGGUAUUAAAGAAAGUGGUAUCUGAAAGAAUUACUGAAAAUUGAUAUAUGAAGCUCAUUUAAUUUUAAAAUGAAAGUUUAGGACUAAUUUGUAAAUUUGACACAAUAUUUAAAAAAUACCUUUUUGAAAAUUUAUAAGUAAAAUUAUAAAAUUAGACAUAUAUUAUUGAAUCAUGCACAAUUUCAAGGCAUCUUAUAGCAUUUAAUGACUCUAAUUGCAUAGCAAAAAGUCUAGGACUAGAUUUCAAAGAAACUAAGCAACUCAAAAACAAACAGUGAGUCACGUCAUGACCACAUGAUUUGACCCUCAAAGUAAACAAUAUAUACUAGCAAUAUAUACUAGCAAAUCAUUAGGCUCAACUUACCAAAUUAACAUAUCAUGCUUUUCUAAAGAACCUACAUGCACAAAAUGAACUAUUUGGUCAAUUGAAACAUGCUAAAAACUGUGGUAUAUUGUGUUGUCCAUUAAAUCACAUUUCAAUCACUUCUCAAACAAUUUUUAACAUAAAUAUAUCAAGCAAGCAUAAUAUGCAUCACCAACAAUAUUCACAACCAUCCAAAUAAAACCACAAAUCAAGGUCCAAAGUCUUUUAAUAGUUUGUAAGAAAGUUUAGUCCCAAAUAGGAUCCCACAUUGCCUUUGUCCAUAAUUUGAAACCAAAAACACCUACUCAAGAGUUAUGCCUUGGAUGAAUCACUACCCUUGCCUACUCCUCACUCCUUGGAUGCGUUACUAGCCUGCAAGUUUUGGGGAAAGAGUGUGAGCUUUUGCAACCUCAAUGAACAUUUAAAAGUACUACUAAUCAUACAUAAUAUCAUAAGUUAAAUGAAAGCAUACUAAGGCGCAUUUAGGAACUCAUUUUCAUCAAGUCAGAGAAUCGUUUUCAUGUUUUAUAUGUUUAAAAAGUUUAGAAUAUACUUCUAAAUAUGAUUACACACAUCAUAGCUCACAUAUUUCAAAUAAUGAUAGAUUAGCAUCUUGAGAUUAUGAAACAUAUAAGUGGACUCAAUAACCAUACAUUGGAUAAACGGAUCUCCAUUGCACUAAUGACUCAAAGAGUCUAACAUGUCUCAAAACUGUAGCAUUAAGCUAAACACUCUCCAACACACCAAGCAUGUCUCGUUGAAUGAAGCAUAUCUCAACAUUCCCUUAUCUCUCUAUCUUGUCCUAGAGCCUCAAUCACCUGAUCACAAAACACAAAGGUGAGUACUCACAAUCUGAUGACAUGUCAACUAUAUCUAAUGGUUUUAACAGAUCACAAAGCCAAAAUAUCCAAAAUUACACAUAUUUAUUUACUUUUUUAACGCACAUAACCUCUAUUUGUAUUCACCAGUUUCACAUCACAACCUCAUUCACAAUACAUGCCUAUCGGAUACACAUUUAAUUGCAUUUACAAGUGCCACAACAAUUCUCAUUGAGCUAUCAUAUAUUAGACCUCAUAUGUGUGCAUUAAAAAUUAGUAAAUCACCUAUCACAUUAAUGUAUUUUCACAUAUUUCUUGUUGCAUUAGCAUCAUAUAUCACAACUCGUCUUACUUAGGCAUGAUUCUACAGACAAGGCAAAAAAAAUAGGAAAUGCUUACUCUCGAAACUUAGGAUAGGGGUUUAGGCUAAUCCUAAGCUGCUGAUUAACACUAUGAAUCCUGCAUACCACUAGUGACUUCGGAACAUUCACCAAUCUUGCUUUCGCUUGCUAGUUGAAAGGUUAAACAAACUUUGCCUGCCCUUUCACCUUACUCUUAAAGGGGUCUAGAGGAUCCGAUACUUCACAUACAUAAUACACAAAAUACAUAUAUGUCAUUGACAACCACAAACAUAGUAAAAAUCAAACAAAAACACAAAUCUAAUCUAUCCCUUCUUAAACUAAAAAUUUCGACUAGUUAAGCCUACACUUAAUUUUCUUGAUCUGAUCUCAUUUUUGUUUCUUGAAAUCAAUUCUAAAUAUCUAAAUAAUCACUUUAGAACAUAUCUAAAUCACUAAAACACCUAGAAAUUCAGAUUUAAAGUUUCCAAAAAAUUUGACUUUCAUGAACAUCUUGAACAAUAAAUCAUUAAAUUUUUCAAAUCUCUAAACAAUUGGUUAAAGUAAUAGUGGAAACCUUUUAAUCUAAUAAAAAUAAGUUGCAAAUCACUUAGAAACUAAAGUUUAGUUUGGGAUUCCCAAUUUCACCAUUAUUGACUUCAGUUUUCGAUAUAAUCCAUUAAACUCGUAAAAACUCAUUCCAAAGAAUCAAACCUUGAUUUGUAAAAAUAGGAUACAUGAAAACAUAGUCAAGAAAUAGAAUCUUACCUUGUUUGGUGAAGAAAAAUGAACUGAGAAUUGAAUUUCUAAAAACCCAAUAGAAAAAUAACGAAAAAAUUGGUUAUGUUCUUGAUGGUUUUCUUAAAUAUUGAGAGAGAUUUUGGAGUUUAGGAGAAAGGAAAAUCAAAUUGAAGAGUUUGAUUUGAGAGUAAAGAGAGAGUUUUGGUGUUUGUAAAGUUUUGAAAUACUAGAUAGGGAAGACGGAGGAACAACAGUUAUGUUUAAAACAUUUUGUGAAAUCCUAACUCUUUUAAUUUUUGGUCAAUUUGCUUGUGGGCAACUCCCAACUUUGCCCCAUUUUCAAAUUAGUCUUCCUUUUUAACUAAUUUUUUUCCUCAUUUCUUUUUAAAUUAACUUUUAUUUUUGAAAUUUGUUUUAAGAAAAAUAUUUCUCGGUUACUUCAUUUUGAAUUCUCGAACCUAAUUUUAGGCCAUAAUUUUAAAAACUAAUCACAAGCCCAAAUCGAACAAUCAAUUCAUUAACCCGAAACUACUAGGCUGAAUUUUGGGAUGUGACAAGAAAUGAAAUGAUUAAACUACUAAGAUAAAACAUGUCCAAGAAUCUUGAUCUUUCUUAAGGUGUUUUACAUGAGUAAUGAAACUAAAUUAUUAUAUGAUUAUGUUUCAGUCUGUAAUUAAUUUAUGACAUUCUCAUUUGCAAUUUGGAACUACUCUCUUUGUAUUUAUACAUCCCAAUCUCAUAAUUGGUGAAGGUAAGUUGACUAAAUUCC